ACAUCGGUAGCACAGUGGUUAGUGCAGUGUGGCAGAAACAGAAAGAUGCGGGUUCAAUUCCCAUCCAGUGUC
Non-coding RNA from Nippostrongylus brasiliensis, 72 nucleotides. The record is from Rfam. NCBI's taxonomy places the organism in Eukaryota, Metazoa, Nematoda, Chromadorea, Rhabditida, Heligmosomidae.